RNAcentral lists this ribosomal RNA (987 nucleotides) under Fusarium falciforme. RNAcentral's name for it is "partial large subunit ribosomal RNA". It matches the Rfam family "Eukaryotic large subunit ribosomal RNA", at positions 76 to 1094 of the family's 3401-position model. The record is from RNAcentral. Lineage: Eukaryota; Fungi; Ascomycota; Sordariomycetes; Hypocreales; Nectriaceae.
UGCCCCAGUAACGGCGAGUGAAGCGGCAACAGCUCAAAUUUGAAAUCUGGCUCUCGGGCCCGAGUUGUAAUUUGUAGAGGAUGCUUUUGGUGAGGUGCCUUCCGAGUUCCCUGGAACGGGACGCCAUAGAGGGUGAGAGCCCCGUCUGGUUGGACGCCGAUCCUCUGUAAAGCUCCUUCGACGAGUCGAGUAGUUUGGGAAUGCUGCUCUAAAUGGGAGGUAUAUGUCUUCUAAAGCUAAAUACCGGCCAGAGACCGAUAGCGCACAAGUAGAGUGAUCGAAAGAUGAAAAGAACUUUGAAAAGAGAGUUAAAAAGUACGUGAAAUUGUUGAAAGGGAAGCGCUUGUGACCAGACUUGGGCUUGGUUGAUCAUCCGGGGUUCUCCCCGGUGCACUCUUCCGGCUCAGGCCAGCAUCAGUUCGCCUCGGGGGAUAAAGGCUUCGGGAAUGUGGCUCUCUCCGGGGAGUGUUAUAGCCCGCUGCGUAAUACCCUGUGGCGGACUGAGGUUCGCGCAUUCGCAAGGAUGCUGGCGUAAUGGUCAUCAGUGACCCGUCUUGAAACACGGACCAAGGAGUCGUCUUCGUAUGCGAGUGUUCGGGUGUCAAACCCCUACGCGAAAUGAAAGUGAACGCAGGUGAGAGCUUCGGCGCAUCAUCGACCGAUCCUGAUGUUAUCGGAUGGAUUUGAGUAAGAGCAUACGGGGCCGGACCCGAAAGAAGGUGAACUAUGCCUGUGUAGGGUGAAGCCAGAGGAAACUCUGGUGGAGGCUCGCAGCGGUUCUGACGUGCAAAUCGAUCGUCAAACAUGGGCAUGGGGGCGAAAGACUAAUCGAACCUUCUAGUAGCUGGUUUCCGCCGAAGUUUCCCUCAGGAUAGCAGUGUUGAACUCAGUUUUAUGAGGUAAAGCGAAUGAUUAGGGACUCGGGGGCGCUAUUUAGCCUUCAUCCAUUCUCAAACUUUAAAUAUGUAAGAAGCCCUUGUUGCUUAA